Molecule: small nuclear RNA, 108 nt
Filed under: Castor canadensis (American beaver)
Lineage: Eukaryota; Metazoa; Chordata; Mammalia; Rodentia; Castoridae
Source: RNAcentral
AUGUUUGCUUUGGCAGCAUGUGUACUGAAGUUGGAAUAAUACAGAGGAGAUCAUCAUGGCCCUCUGUGCAAGGAUUAUACAUAAAUUCCUGAAGCUUUUCAUAUCCAU